CUCCACCGCGUUCUCUCUCUCUCUCUCUCUCUCUAUCUCUCUCUCUCUCUCUCUCUCAGCUCCAUUAAUGGCGGCUCACGCAGCUCCCUCCUACCCAGGGAACAAGCCCUCGGGGAAUCCCUACCCUCGGAGGGGCCAGAUCAAGGCCAGGAUCGUCCGCGACCUCAUCUCCGCCGUCGCCUCCAUCGCCGGCCGAUGGAUGUCCGCUGCUGCGGCGGAGCACGCCGGAGUCAGCCGCAGCGCCGCCGCCGCCGAUGUCUCCGCCGCCCCUCCGCCGGAGCAACUCCCGAUGGCCGUCGUCUGACUCGCAGAAACGGAACCCUAAUUCGACCCCGCCUCUCUCUCUCUCUCUCUCUCUCUCUCUCUCUCACGUAUCUCGUUGCUGAUUAUUUUAUCCGAUGCAACGGAAGAAGAAGAAAAGGGAGCGAGAGAGCGAUUUGAUGAUUCGAAUUUCUGUGGCUUGUGUUAUUAUUUUCAUACAUAUUCCGCAGAAUUAUUCUAAUUUUUGUUCUUUUUCUCUUUUUUGGGUAGGGAUAAUUCUCUGUUGCUGAUGUUUUUAUAAGUAUCAGAGGGUCUUUUUCCUUUUUCCUUUUUCCUUUUUCUUUUUUCUUUUUUCUUUUUUCUUUUUUUCGAAUUUUCAGUUCAUAUAGUCUUUUUUAAACUAGUUUUAGGUAAGUGGGGGGCGAUCUCUGUUGCUGUUGUUUGUUUUCGAUUCAGAGGUUUGAGGUUUUAGUCAUUACCUCUGUUGUGUUAUUACAUAUGUAUGUUUAGUGUGCUCGUAUGUAACUUAGUUCUAAUACUUUCUUCUUUUUUUUUUGCAUCAUCUUUUGUUGAGUUUUUUUUUGUUUUAAUAUUUGAAUCUAUUGAAUUUCCCAUGCGCACAAAGAAAUUUGCUUCAAAACAUAGCAUAGAGAUGAAAGCAAAAAAAUAAUAAUAAUAAUAAUCUUAAGUGUGUUUUUUUUUCCAUAUUAAAUGAUCACCAAGCAUGUUUAAUUAGUGAGCGAAAUUGCAAUUAAAUUAGAGCUGAACUAUCAUAAUAAAGCAUAGUUCUUUUAUUUUUCAUUUAAAUUUUUUACCUUAAUAUUGAUAUUAAUGUAGUCACAUGAAUUAUAUAAAAUAUAUCGAUCGAGUUCGUAAAAGUAAACAGGGCAAUUAACUUUUGAAGUAUCAGAAUCAUAAAAUGACACAGAUCACAUAAACUAAAAAGAUUAUAUAGUAAAAUUAUAACUUUUAAUAUUAGAUAGUUGAAUCAUAAUAGAUAAUCUAUUCAGAUAAGUUUCGAUUUAAAAUAGUAAGAUUCAAUACCACUUUUCUUUUCAGGAGCAAAUACUAUAAGAAAAUUAGAUCUCUCUUUCUCCAUUUAUUGGUUCAAUACCAACGAAUAUUUUGGGAAAAAUAUUCAGCCAAUCAAAUGAAAGGCUUACUAAUUCCGAGUCCUCUCCACUAAUAAUUUUUUUUUUUUUUUUAUUUGAAACCAGGUACAGGGUCCAGAAGAUAGGAAAGAGAACAGAGCCAAGACCAGCUCAAAUACAAGUAUGUUAGUAACCAACUAAAAGAGAUAGCACUCGAACCAGAGACAAAGGAUUAGAAGUAGACGACAAUCUUAACUUCCUAUCGCAGAGACAAAGGAUUAGAAGUAGACGACGAUCUUAACUUCCUAUCGCUGAGACCCAUUGCCUGACCGUGUCAUUGAUUACUCUUGCCAGAUUUUCGCUCCAUUGUACCUUGUUAUCGAAUAAUCUCCUAUUUCGCUCUUUUCAUAACUUCCAACAUCCCGCUGCGACGCAGAGAUCAAAACUCUUUUUUGGUUCCCCUGUUAAUAAAUUUCUCGAGCAGCACCAGCGAGCCGCUAACCCACCUGGUGAGGUGGACAUCUGAUGUUGCGCUGUAGAAGCAAAACGCAACAACAGAAUCCACAUUGAUUUGGCAUAGUAGCAGUCUAACAGAAGAUGCUCCAUUGUUUCAGAGUUUGAAUUGCAAAGCACACAAACAGAUGGACCGUACCAACCACGCUUGGCUAGAGCGUCGGCUGUCAACAUCUUAUUUCUCGCUGCAAGCCAUAAGAAAAAUUUGACUCUAAGAGGUACCUUCAAUAUCCACAGAAAGGGGAUUUGGCGGUUGUUGAUUCCGUCAUAGAUCAGGAAAUCAUAGGCGCUUCGUGCAGUAAAUCGUCUAGAUAUAUUCCAUCGCCAGGAAAUCAAGUCCGAAGAAGGCUACGAAAGAACCAAAUUGCUAAUCAAAUUGGCAAGUUGAUUAAGGUCCAGACAUACUUCGGAUUGUUCCGGUGUGCAGAAACCCAGAUUUUGUUGCGACCCAAAGCGUUGAAUCCACUUAUUGACUGAGAGAUGGUUGCGGGUUGCAGCUGCAAAGAGGUUGGGAAAGCGGUUCCUUGGGAUAAGAUCCCCACACCAUUUCGCGUUCUAGAAAGAUGCUAACUUCCCACUACCUAGAGAAAAGUUGACCGAUGUAAGGAACGGAGCAGCAAGCUUGAGCAAACGCGGUUAGGUCCAGUACUCGACGUUUGUAGUGUUUUUGCAUUAGUAGCUGGACCCCUGGCAAGUUUUGAGAGUUGUAGAAGCUCCGAAGACCCUUCAUUGCUAAUCAAAUUUCUCAGUCAAUUAAAAAAAACAAUUAAAUUAGCUACCCUUUAUUCACCAAUAAUGCAUUAUUGACUGAGG
This 2678-nucleotide long non-coding RNA is filed under the name Ananas comosus (pineapple). Its description in RNAcentral is "long non-coding RNA (ACOM_LNC020467)". Lineage: Eukaryota; Viridiplantae; Streptophyta; Magnoliopsida; Poales; Bromeliaceae. The record is from RNAcentral.